UACGUAGGGUGCGAGCGUUGUCCGGAAUUAUUGGGCGUAAAGGGCUCGUAGGCGGUCUGUCGCGUCGGGAGUGAAAACUCAGGGCUUAACCCUGAGCCUGCUUCCGAUACGGGCAGACUAGAGGUAUGCAGGGGAGAACGGAAUUCCUGGUGUAGCGGUGGAAUGCGCAGAUAUCAGGAGGAACACCGGUGGCGAAGGCGGCUACCUGGACCGGAACUGACGCUGAGGCGCGAAAGCGUGGGUAGCAAACAGG
Molecule: ribosomal RNA, 253 nt
Filed under: uncultured bacterium
Lineage: Bacteria
Description: partial 16S ribosomal RNA
Rfam family: Bacterial small subunit ribosomal RNA
Source: RNAcentral